UAGAAUAAAGAUAAAAAUCUAUUAAUUUUUGUUUAUAAAUUUUUUAAUAGAAAAAACUUCAAAUACCACCCAUGUGGUUUCGCACUUUCUCACUUUAGUACUCUGUGGUAUAAAGUGUAUCAAUUUAGUACCCUGUGGCUUCAUUUUUCUCUUUUAAUUAUUCAUUCUAUUAAUUUUUUUUCAUUAAAUUAGUGAUAAAAUUAAAACUAAAGAGUACUAAAGUGAAUAUUCGAUAAACCUAAGUAGGGCAUCUGAAGUUUUUUGUAUAAAAUUUAACGAAAUAUUAACAGAGGAGCAUACAAAAAGAGAAAAUGAAAUCAGGAGACAAACUUAUACAUUUUAAACCAUAAGGUAUUAAAGUGAGAAAGUGUGAAACCAUAUG
Molecule: long non-coding RNA, 382 nt
Filed under: Ananas comosus (pineapple)
Lineage: Eukaryota; Viridiplantae; Streptophyta; Magnoliopsida; Poales; Bromeliaceae
Description: long non-coding RNA (ACOM_LNC035532)
Source: RNAcentral